UACGUAGGGGGCAAGCGUUGUCCGGAUUUAUUGGGCGUAAAGAGCUUGUAGGCGGCUCGUCACGUCGGGUGUGAAAACUCGCGGCUCAACCGCGAGCCUGCACCCGAUACGGGCGGGCUAGAGUUCGGCAGGGGAGACUGGAAUUCCUGGUGUAGCGGUGGAAUGCGCAGAUAUCAGGAGGAACACCGGUGGCGAAGGCGGGUCUCUGGGCCGAUACUGACGCUGAGAAGCGAAAGCGUGGGGAGCGAACAGG
This 253-nucleotide ribosomal RNA is filed under the name uncultured bacterium. Its description in RNAcentral is "partial 16S ribosomal RNA". It matches the Rfam family "Bacterial small subunit ribosomal RNA", at positions 524 to 776 of the family's 1533-position model. The record is from RNAcentral.